RNAcentral lists this ribosomal RNA (534 nucleotides) under Tumebacillus amylolyticus. Its description in RNAcentral is "bacterial SSU rRNA". It matches the Rfam family "Bacterial small subunit ribosomal RNA", at positions 999 to 1533 of the family's 1533-position model. The record is from RNAcentral. Lineage: Bacteria; Bacillati; Bacillota; Bacilli; Caryophanales; Alicyclobacillaceae.
UCUAGAGAUAGAGCUUCCCUUCGGGGCAGCGGUGACAGGUGGUGCAUGGUUGUCGUCAGCUCGUGUCGUGAGAUGUUGGGUUAAGUCCCGCAACGAGCGCAACCCCUAUGUUGUGUUGCUACCAUUUAGUUGAGCACUUACAACAGACUGCCGGUGACAAACCGGAGGAAGGCGGGGAUGACGUCAAAUCAUCAUGCCCCUUAUGUCUUGGGCUACACACGUGCUACAAUGGACGGUACAAAGGGUUGCGAAGCCGCGAGGUGGAGCCAAUCCCAGAAAGCCGUUCGUAGUUCGGAUUGCAGGCUGCAACUCGCCUGCAUGAAGCCGGAAUUGCUAGUAAUCGCGGAUCAGCAUGCCGCGGUGAAUUCGUUCCCGGGCCUUGUACACACCGCCCGUCACACCAUGGGAGUUGGUAACACCCGAAGUCGGUGAGGUAACUGCUUGCAGAGCCAGCCGCCUAAGGUGGGAUCGAUAACUGGGGUGAAGUCGUAACAAGGUAGCCGUAUCGGAAGGUGCGGCUGGAUCACCUCCUUU